CAUUCGCUUGCUGUAUUCAUAUUAACAUGUUGAGUCAGAUUCGCUGUAUUGUCUCUGUAUUCAACCUAAUACUUACCCACAUGCAGGCCUCCAGGCGGACCUUUGACAUGAUUGAGAAGAGAGUUAUGCUGCUGUCCAUCACUCCACCUUGGGGACAGACAAUCUGGUCUGGGUAUGGAGGCUCUGGGAAGUCUAUGGAGCCGCACUCGUAUGCAGCCAGGGUUACUGAUGCUAUGUGAGGACCCUAAUAAAGAGAAAAAAGGAUGUUUUCAUGAAAAGAAUGAAUAAUUGGGACAUCAAAUAGGUACAGACACACGCCAACAGGAGCUGAGUCACAGUCUCUGUGACAGAUACGUGCCAACCUUUUAUGUGUUCUCUUUUUUGGUCCAUGUCCAAUGCUUCCACCAAGUUUUGCAUAAAUCUGUACAGCCCACAACUGUACAUCUUUAAACUUG
Molecule: long non-coding RNA, 455 nt
Organism: Pleuronectes platessa (European plaice)
Lineage: Eukaryota; Metazoa; Chordata; Actinopteri; Pleuronectiformes; Pleuronectidae
Exons: 3
Source: RefSeq, a predicted model, not a curated record